This 1267-nucleotide long non-coding RNA is filed under the name Astyanax mexicanus (Mexican tetra). Its description in RNAcentral is "lncRNA (ENSAMXG00005011313.1)". Lineage: Eukaryota; Metazoa; Chordata; Actinopteri; Characiformes; Acestrorhamphidae. The record is from RNAcentral.
UAUGUAUAUGACUUAUAUAUAAUAAAUUAUAAAAUACACACAAAAAUAAGACCCAUCUAAAUUAUAGAGAGUCGAUUCUUAGAGCCGAAUCUUUCAAAACCGACUCAUUACUGUCUCGGUGGUUUAGCUGCUGAGUUUGUUGAAGGAGAGAGGCGACUGAGGAGCGAAAUACCGAUGCCAAAAUGAACCGGAUUCGGAUCCACGUGGUGCCGUCCAGCCGAGGCAGGGUCACCCAGAGAAGCUGCUCUCGAUCCAGUCUCGAUCCGACCCAGCUAUCAGAUAUACUACUUUUAUUUGAACUAAACUGCUGAUAACGCACAGUUUAAUCUGAUAUAUUAACCACAGCUAUGAACAAAGGCUGUCUUUGCUGCUCCAUGCUGUUUACACACAUGGUCUGUGCUGUGUUCACUGCACAUCUGUGUUAAAGCAGUUUAGGUUUAUACAUAUGUGAAACCAAACCAAACAAAGGGAGAAAAUGCUACAAGUAAAGGAACAUCAACUCAUCCGGACUAUAGAAACCAACUACAGGUGUGAAAACGCCUUAUGUGUUCAACAAGAACGGCAAGCGUUGUCCCAGUGCAGCACAGAAACCCCAGAAAAGAAGGACGGGCCCACUCAGUACGACAGAGCCAGAGAUGCAUUUCCUGUGUGGAAGGGACGCGAUGCUCAAACCAGUGGCUGCCAAUGACACGACAUUGUGUUUCUCGUAUCCUUUUCUAGCACACUGUGCAUAAUUUAGCAUCUUUUUAUAUUUAGCCACAAUCAUGUACAGCACUGGUUGCCAGGUCUGAUCCUGGAGGACCUGCUUGCCAACCCUCUGUGGUGGUUUCCUACUCUACCACACUACCUUUAAUUCAGGCUUGCUGAUUGGCUGAUUUGCUGGAUGAUUUGCUAUUGAUUAUUCAUAUCCUGUGCACUUUUACUGUCAGCAUGGUUACUGUGGUAUUAGCAUCACUAUUCACAAUCAUUUCAGUGGUCUUGUUCAGCAUUACUACUACAGUGUAAGCAAUACUAUUGUAGUGAAUGCAUUGCUAUUGCUGUAUUAGCAUUGUUCUCUGUGUGUUAGCAUCACUACCCCAGUGUUAGUCCCAUGCCUUGUUGAACAGGGCCCUUCAUAUUAGUGCUGGGCAGUUUUCACAAUUAAUUUGUUUAAUCAAAUGUUUUUAAUGUUUUUAAUCUGAUAUACCUGAAAACGCUCCUCAUUUCUGAAGUGUUUAUCUUCCUAACUUGGUUACUAACAUCUCCGACAGACUAACUUUAAAUAAUA